Molecule: ribosomal RNA, 406 nt
Filed under: uncultured bacterium
Lineage: Bacteria
Description: partial 16S ribosomal RNA
Rfam family: Bacterial small subunit ribosomal RNA
Source: RNAcentral
CUUGAACGCUGGCGGCAGGCCUAACACAUGCAAGUCGAGCGAGCGGCGGACGGGUGAGUAAUGUCUGGGAAACUGCCUGAUGGAGGGGGAUAACUACUGGAAACGGUAGCUAAUACCGCAUACCAUCAGAUGUGCCCAGAUGGGAUGAGCGAGUAGGUGGGGAAACGGCUCACCUAGGCGACGAUCCCUCGCUGGUCUGAGAGGAUGACCAACCACACGGGAACUGAGACACGGUCCAGACGCAUACGGGAGGCAGCAGUGGGGAAUAUUGCACAAUGGUGGCAAGCCUGAUGCAGCCAGGCCGCGUGUGUGAAGAAGGCCUUCGGGUUGUAAAGCACUCUGGGCGGGGAAGCGUUACCCGCAUAGGAAGCACCGGCUAACUCCGUGCCAGGAGCCGCGGUAAUAC